Non-coding RNA from Macellibacteroides sp. HH-ZS, 173 nucleotides. The record is from Rfam. NCBI's taxonomy places the organism in Bacteria, Pseudomonadati, Bacteroidota, Bacteroidia, Bacteroidales, Porphyromonadaceae.
UUCAUCGCGAGGUGUAAUCUGAAGGAAGUCUUCGGCAAAGAUCUGGCCUGACGAACAGAAACUUGAUACCAAGGCUCACGAGUGUGGAUUAGUUUGCAAUACAAAACAAAGUCCUAUAGCUGUUCGGAACACUUGGAGUAAAUCAAGCAGGUAUAAGAUUGAAAGAAUACGUC